RNAcentral lists this ribosomal RNA (468 nucleotides) under uncultured bacterium. Its description in RNAcentral is "partial 16S ribosomal RNA". It matches the Rfam family "Bacterial small subunit ribosomal RNA", at positions 28 to 507 of the family's 1533-position model. The record is from RNAcentral.
GACGAACGCUGGCGGCGUGCUUAACACAUGCAAGUCGAACGGAAAGGCCCUGCUUUUGUGGGGUGCUCGAGUGGCGAACGGGUGAGUAACACGCGAGUAACCUGCCCUUGACUUUGGGAUAACUUCAGGAAACUGGGGCUAAUACCGGAUAGGAGCUCCUGCUGCAUGGUGGGGGUUGGAAAGUUUCGGCGGUUGGGGAUGGACUCGCGGCUUAUCAGCUUGUUGGUGGGGUAGUGGCUUACCAAGGCUUUGACGGGCAGCCGGCCUGAGAGGGUGACCGGCCACAUUGGGACUGAGAUACGGCCCAGACUCCUACGGGAGGCAGCAGUGGGGAAUAUUGCACAAUGGGCGGAAGCCUGAUGCAGCAACGCCGCGUGCGGGAUGACGGCCUUCGGGUUGUAAACCGCUUUCGCCUGUGACGAAGCGUGAGUGACGGUAAUGGGUAAAGAAGCACCGGCUAACUACGUG